CAGCAGCCACGGUAAUACGAGGGGGGCAAGCGUUGUUCGGAAUUAUUGGGCGUAAAGGGCGCGUAGGCGGUUUGGCAAGUUUGGUGUGAAAUCUUCGGGCUCAACUCGAAGUCUGCAUCGAAAACUGCCGGGCUUGAGUAUGGGAGAGGUGAGUGGAAUUUCCGGUGUAGCGGUGAAAUGCGUAGAUAUCGGAAGGAACACCUGUGGCGAAAGCGGCUCACUGGACCAUUACUGACGCUGAGGCGCGAAAGCUAGGGGAGCAAACAGGAUUAGAUACCCCAGUAGUCCCUGUCUCUUAUAC
Molecule: ribosomal RNA, 301 nt
Filed under: uncultured bacterium
Lineage: Bacteria
Description: partial 16S ribosomal RNA
Rfam family: Bacterial small subunit ribosomal RNA
Source: RNAcentral